AGUAGUUUCUUUUGUAUUUAAUUGUUUUUUUCUAUUAUUCAUUCAUUUUUUUUCUCAUUGUAGAUUAAAGCUCGUCAGACUAUGUGCCAGAAAAUGUACAAACAAACUUCGUGAUGAACUUUACUGAUGCAUCAAAUCUAUUAAAUCACAGAAUAUGAAAACAAAUCUUUUAAAUUUGGGACUUUUAAAAUUAGAUUGAUUAAAGCUCGUCAGACUAUGUGCCAGAAAAUGUACAAACAAACUUCGUGAUGAACUUUACUGAUGCAUCAAAUCUAUUAAAUCACAGUAAGUUUUUCACAGAACAAACACAACAUAUUUUACACAAUAUACAUACAUUAUUUAUUGAUUUCAUUGGAUAACCACUUACAUUGUUAAUAUUCAGUUUGACUGAUUCGUUUAAUUGAGGAAAUUUAAAUUUCAACAAAACUAUUAUACAUUGGUUAAUAGGGGUUAUAUACCAGCAUGUAUGUAUAUACAAACAUCUGUUGAUGUGGAACUAUGUACACAAUUAUUACAUCAAAAGUCAAGUAGGUUAACAACCAUCAAUGCAUAAAACAUAUUUGGUAAUGGUUUCUACGGUUAUUUUAUGCAGAAUUCUUUCGUGUGAAAAAAAAAAAUUCUUAAAAGGGGCAUGCGUCAAAAUCUGGACUUACCUUGAAAAAAAAUAUAUAAGUAGACCUAUAUUGUAAAUUUCCUUCUGAAAUACGAAUCGCGGCAAAUUACUGCAAUUUUUUAGAAAAAGCAUUUGAAUUCCUUGAUGUACUCAAAAUCCAAAUAGUAGAUCUAUGUAAGACUUUGCUGCAAGUAGGGAAAUUACAUAGACUGACGAGGUGAUGUUUCGGCCCUCUAAUAAACAAAACUUCUGUGCAAAUUCCCAUAUAAAUAGGAUCCUUUAAUGCUCUCGUGACCUCUCGUCAUAUUUUAAAUUCACAGUCAGGGACAUUCCUAGUGGUCCCGCCUCUACAUUGUCGAUCAGUACCCAUAAGCCCUUCCUCUCUAGGCAAGGGGAAUAAAAGUGUCGCUGAAUUCCCCGGUCGCCAAAGUACUAAAUCCAAUGAGGCGAGAGAAAAAAAAAGCUUAAA
Molecule: long non-coding RNA, 1082 nt
Organism: Musca domestica (house fly)
Lineage: Eukaryota; Metazoa; Arthropoda; Insecta; Diptera; Muscidae
Exons: 3
Source: RefSeq, a predicted model, not a curated record